Long non-coding RNA from Mandrillus leucophaeus (drill), 329 nucleotides. RefSeq lists it as uncharacterized. NCBI's taxonomy places the organism in Eukaryota, Metazoa, Chordata, Mammalia, Primates, Cercopithecidae. The transcript has 2 exons. The record is from RefSeq and is a predicted model, not a curated record.
CUUUGGGAGGCUGAGGUGGGCAGAUCACCUGAGGUGCUGGUGUAUUUAAAAUACAGUUGUUUUUAUAUGUUUCAGUUUAAUUUCCCCUCCUUCCCAUCCUUAUUGAUUUAACUUUUUCAAAAGUUGAAACUACAUGGAAAAGUAGGUUUAGACAAAUUUCAGUCACUCCCAUGUCCUUUCUGUCUUAUUUUCCCUGCUUUUGAUGACAAUCAACUAUAUUGAUUUCUGGUUUACCCUUCAUAUGUUUCAUAUAUGUGUGUUUCCUUAUUUCCUCUUUUUCUUCUAAUAUGUGCUCUUUUGUGCUUCAGAUAGUAUUAAGAUUUUUAAAC